Molecule: long non-coding RNA, 911 nt
Filed under: Citrus maxima (pomelo)
Lineage: Eukaryota; Viridiplantae; Streptophyta; Magnoliopsida; Sapindales; Rutaceae
Description: long non-coding RNA (CMAX_LNC004433)
Source: RNAcentral
AAAUUACAUGCACCAUUUCCGUUAGUGGUUGGUUCCUUUCUCUCCAACGUUCGAAGUUCUCCACAAUUAUUUAUAGCAAGGUUGUAAUGUCACAAUCUUGGAUCGAAACAGGACAAAAACACCUUAUUAAACGAAAGUCGAACAAAUUGAAAGCACAUUUGUCAGACGAGGUUGUAAUGUAAUAAAUAUUUUCAUUGAAAAGUAAAGAUUUUAGAGAGGCAUUCAUUCAAAGAUUCAUAAAAUUAAAAAGCGAAAUUGCAAAUCUAUUUACUUGUAAAACUGAAAUUUCAAGCUGCUCAAAUAACACAGUUCUAGUAAAAGUAGAAAAACAAUUACAACUCAGAAACUUGUCUCCCGGGGGAGAUUGGAUGAUAACUAUUGAUCACCACUCUUUUAGUUAAACUUUUUUAAUAGAUGUGAAAAAGUCUGAUUUUUGUUAAUUAUUAACUCAUGCAUCAUUCAAGUUAGAACUUAAGACCUCAUCUUUAAUAAAUCUGCUAUUUACCACAGGAGCGCAGGACCUCUCUUGACUAGGCACAGAUCUGAUCCGGGCCGAUUUGGAUUUGUAGUACUGGAUCUGAUCCGGGCUGAUUUGGGUUUUGACCCAUUAGCGUUAGGAGGAGCCGUUUGAGUAUCCUUUUGCGAUCUUCAUGGUUAAUUGCUGCAAUCGACGACGACUCCGACCGGUGAGUGACGCGAGAGAAACCAAGUGGUGAGAGGUGGUGGCUGGUCGGUGACGAGUUGCUCAGCCCGUGAGUGACGCGAGAGAAGAAGAGAAGAGAGAGAAACCAACUGUUGAAGUCGGGUACGGGCGGAUCGAAAUACAAAUCAAAAACAACUUUGUUUGCCUUUAUUAUUAAGCUUUUUCACAUCCGUUAGAAAAAGUUUUAACCAAAAAGGGUGGUAAUAAU